GACGUAGGGCGCGAGCGUUGUCCGGAUUUAUUGGGCGUAAAGAGCUCGUAGGCGGCUUGUCGCGUCGUCUGUGAAAUCCCGCGGCUCAACCGCGGGCCUGCAGUCGAUACGGGCAGGCUAGAGUCCGGUAGGGGAGCGUGGAAUUCCUGGUGUAGCGGUGAAAUGCGCAGAUAUCAGGAGGAACACCAGCGGCGAAGGCGGCGCUCUGGGCCGGAACUGACGCUGAGGAGCGAAAGCGUGGGUAGCAAACAGG
Molecule: ribosomal RNA, 253 nt
Filed under: uncultured bacterium
Lineage: Bacteria
Description: partial 16S ribosomal RNA
Rfam family: Bacterial small subunit ribosomal RNA
Source: RNAcentral